Molecule: long non-coding RNA, 1700 nt
Organism: Carassius gibelio (silver crucian carp)
Lineage: Eukaryota; Metazoa; Chordata; Actinopteri; Cypriniformes; Cyprinidae
Exons: 3
Source: RefSeq, a predicted model, not a curated record
AGGGCAUCCAGUGUUAAGUUCUGGGGAUCACUCCGCUGCGGCGACCCCUGAUAAAGGGAAUAAGCCGAAAGAGACCGAGAAUUUUCCGUGUGGUUUCACAGGUGAUCACGAACCCAAACCACCCCAGCCCCCCUGUUGAUUCUACUUAAAGCCACAUGAGGGCGGUGUAUAAGGAGUGCAGUCAUUCCAGAUGGCCUCAUUGCUUCAUUCUUGGCCUGCCAAACAGACGUUAUAGCAAUCCAGCUGAUGAUAGAUCCUCAUUCAGCCGCCCUCCUGCAUGGAUGAAUUCGGGAGAACUGUAAAUGAGGACUGACAUAUGAUGCCAUGACGUGUUCUCUGUAUAGCUUGCAGUGCCUGUUAGCAGACUCCGAGCAUUAAGUACCCUGUGAAGACUUUGUGUCUGUGAAAUCACUUUCUUUUCCGGCUGGUUGUGGGAUUUGUUGUGCCUUGUCAUCAGCGAGCAGCGAUGGGAACUCACUGUUGUUCACCUCUCAUGUCAUUCUGGGGAUGGAUUGUACGGGGAUGAAAAAGACAGCAGACAGGAUCGAGAUAGAAGGCUCAGUUGAACUGUCAGAUAUUCUGAGCCUCUUCACAUGAAUGAGACUCCUUAAUGUCUGUAACCUUGAGGUUUGUGUUUGCUCUCCAUAGAAACAGACGGCUGAAUCUUUGUUCCCCUGGUAACCUGCAACGUGAGGCAAUCCAGCUGGUGAGAGCGCCAUGCAUAUUGACAAAUUCUUCCUAUACCAAUUGCACAAAUAAUCUGAGGACGAUGAGAGAGACUGGAGGUGGAACUGCGCCGAGAAUGUCUGAGGCGGAAGCUCUGGCACAGUCUUGCAUUACAUAAAGCCUCGGCGUUGCUUAAUAUUCUCCGCACCUCCGUCCUUCUGGCUCUAUCUUAUUUGAGGAUCUUAUAUUCUUCAAUACAAUCUUCCAGUACUUUUCUCUCCGGCUGCUUAUAUUCUCAAGCAUUUUUUUUUGACAGUGCAGGGAUUUGACUGAGCAAAACUCAGCUGUCAGAGCAGGAACAAUGAAGUCUGCAUCUCCUUCAGGUGCAGAUAUCGCAUGAGUGAUGCACUGCUUUGACCUCGGGGCUUGGCAUUAAUGCACUUCUCGCCUGUUUGUUUGAACAAAAGCGGUAAUAUGCGUCAGAUAAGUUCGCCUGGUGUCUUUUUGUAGUCUUUGAAGUGAAGCUGUGAGUCCUCAGAUGCCUUAUCAAAUAAUGAAAGUGCUGGGGUUACAACAUAUUCAGGGUGUUUGGUGAACACUCAACAGAUACUGGUUGUAAACAGCAGAGGGCAGUGUUCUCUUUGCUUGGCGGAGAGCUCUGGUCAUGCAGUGUGGUGUGGAGUCAGGUGCACGCUUGAUUCAGGUUGUGAAAAUGUUUCAGACAUAACAGGCAUUAUCAGAAGCAAUCGUGAUUUGUUUAUCACGUUUGUCAAAGAGCUAGAAAUAUAUUUUUCAAACCAAUGCAAAAUUCAAUGACAUUAGUUUGAGGAUGUCACGAAAUUUCAGGUUAAGGAAAAAGUGUUUUUUUAACCUUUAUUCAGCAAGGAUGCAUCACCAGAAUGGAAUAAUGUGUGCAUCCCAUCAUCUUAAUAAAUUACAUUUGAAGACAUAUUUAAAUGUGUUUUAAAUUGUUAUAAUAUUUCACAGUAUUACUGUUUUAUACUUUGAAAAAAUAAAUACAGCAUAAAAGACUU